RNAcentral lists this ribosomal RNA (502 nucleotides) under uncultured bacterium. RNAcentral's name for it is "partial 16S ribosomal RNA". It matches the Rfam family "Bacterial small subunit ribosomal RNA", at positions 28 to 507 of the family's 1533-position model. The record is from RNAcentral.
GACGAACGCUGGCGGCGUGCUUAACACAUGCAAGUCGAACGGUGAAGGGGUCUGCUUUUGUGGGCCCUGGAUGAGUGGCGAACGGGUGAGUAACACGUGAGUAACCUGCCCCCUUCUUCUGGAUAACCGCAUGAAAGUGUGGCUAAUACGGGAUAUUCUGGGUCUGUCGCAUGAUGGGUCUGGGAAAGAUUGCGCCUUUGGGUGUUUUUGGUGGGGGAUGGGCUCGCGGCCUAUCAGCUUGUUGGUGGGGUGAUGGCCUACCAAGGCGGUGACGGGUAGCCGGCCUGAGAGGGGGGACGGUCACACUGGGACUGAGGCACGGCCCAGACUCCUACGGGAGGCAGCAGUGGGGAAUAUUGCACAAUGGGCGCAAGCCUGAUGCAGCGACGCCGCGUGAGGGAGGGAGGCCUUCGGGUUGUAAACCUCUUUCGCCAGUGAAGCAGGCCUGCUCCGUGUGGGUGGGUUGACGGUAGCUGGAGAAGAAGCGCCGGCUAACUACGUG